RNAcentral lists this long non-coding RNA (3758 nucleotides) under Mytilus galloprovincialis (Mediterranean mussel). The record is from RNAcentral. Lineage: Eukaryota; Metazoa; Mollusca; Bivalvia; Mytilida; Mytilidae.
UAUAUAAACAUCUGAAAAUGUAGUUUGGUAACUGAAUUUAGUCAGACCAAACAAGGUAAGUUCUUUAUUCUUGUACAUAUGUUUUUUAACAUAGACUCCAAGACAGUUUGAAAUUAGAAAUUUUCUUCAAAAUCUGUUUAAUGUAUUGCAAUUGUACUCUUUUAUGUUUUAAAAUUUAAUUUUAUCUUUUCAAAAUUCAAUGAAAAGAAAUGAUAAAAUGUAUUCCAGAAACAGUAGUUUUUGUCUUGCACUAUGCAAUGAUAUUGAUCUUUAUACUUCCAAAUGGUUUACCCAGCUGUCAUAAUUAACUGGGAAAUGUAUGAAACUCUUCAAAGACGAUUGAAGACGGCUAUUUUCAGACUAAGGUUCUUUUGGUUUUUCUCUUAUUAAAUUAUUUUUUUUCAAUUUAAAAAAAGAUAACUAAUCAAAUCUUGUCUCCGAAUUUCAUUGCAAAAUUUGUCAAAAAAAACUUAAAAAUUAUAGAAUAGAGGUUAUUAUUUCAGAUUAUUAUAGGAUUAAACGCCUUUUUAAAGGGAUUUAUUGGUGUAUAAACUCGACCAAUUCACUCACAAAUAAAUAACAGUCCGAAGGACUUUUAUGAUAUGUUUGUGAGGGGUUUGGUCCAGUUUAUACACCAAUAAAUUCCUUUAAAAAGGCGUUUAAUCCUUAUAAUUCUUUAAAAUUGGAGAUAAGCAAUAUAUUUUUCAACAAUCGUAACCUCUAUCACACGUAAAUUGUAUAUUUGUGUUGUGUCAUUGGAUAGGCAUGUAGCAUGAAUAUGUUUGUUGGUUAACGCAAAAAUAUGUACUCAAUGAAAUUUGCUAUCUAAUAAAAAAUAAACUUCAAAAACUCUUAUUAUCAUUCAAACGAAUGUUUUUUUUAUUAUUAUUUAAUUUAGCGAUUAACGUGCAGCGAAAAUAAAUUUUGUUAACGUCGGUGUUAUUAUCGCCGCUAUCUUGUUUACAUUGGUUACGAAAAGAAGUUCGGUCAACGUCGUCUAUUGAAAAAUAAACAACGUCAAGAUCAACUACCGGAAAUCCUCUCGACCAAUCAUAUCAACGUUUUCCCUAAUAUGCAAAUCAUACAAGAAUUAUUACAUGGUAUUUUUCACAUCAGUUGUAUUAUCAUCCUAAGGUUCAAUAUUAGCCCAUGGGCUGAUUAUACAUAUAAUAUGGAAAAUGUCAUGUUUUCAUCUUCUAUCAUAUGCUUCAACAAUGCUGAAAAAAAAUAGGUUACUAUAUUGAUCCUUUUAUGUGGUUCAAAAAGUAAAAACAAUUAAGGACGUCGGACAUCAGAUGAAAUACAUUCGAUAUGCAAUUUUUUGUAUCAUUUGCCUCAGCAGAGGAGAAAAACUACAGUAUAAUACAUUCUAAUAUUGACGAUAAAAAGAAUCAAGUAAACAUUUUUGUAAUGGAUAUAGUGUGGUGAAAUGCUAGGGUUUUCAAAGGUCUUUAACUUCGAAUUCAUUUACGGAUAUCUUAGUUAUUUUGGAAUGUGAAUGAACAUGUGACAUGCUGUUUUCAUUUUUGAUUUGACCACCAAGUUUGAAAUCUAUUCUGUUCAAAUUAUAUCAUAACAUUUCAAAUAUCUUGACAUUUUCAAAUUUGUAUUAUGAAUUCAUUUGUUUGUUAUUCGUCAAGAGUGAAUACUUAUCUAAAAUAUACAAUGGUGAUUCCAAUUCUUUUAAAUUAUUAAUAGACUGAGGGUCCUUCUAAUGAUUUAGUACAAAAGGGGGUGAGAAAUAAAAAUAUUAUAUUAUGAUGUUAAUAAAAUUGUGCCCGUAAAUUAUUGUUUUGUAAUAAAAAAAAACCUUUGUGCUACAUAUGCUAUGUGUUUAAAACAGCUCAGUUUUGUUCCCAACAAACAUCAGGUUUAAGAAUGGUGCAUACUUAACGUUGAAAUAAAAUUUGUUUGCUGGAACAUGACUAUAGGUGUUACUGUUUACCUGCACAACUAUAUUGUAAAAUUGACAAUACAAUUUGGACAUUUAAAUUGACCAGUUGGUAUUGUUAUAGUUCAGUGGUCAUUCUAUUUAUUUUGCAUGAUAUAUAUACAACUCAAACAAGUGAAUCAUCUUCAUAUUAGAUCCAGAACUUAAUAACGAUUGUUUCUAAAAUCACAUUUAAACAUUUCAAGCCACGUAAAUAUGUUGAUUGUACUUAUUUAUCCUACUUUCUGUUUUGAAUGUUUUUAUCUUUCAUAUUUGUAGGACUCUGAACCGCGAUGGUACUCCGAACCGCGAUGGUCACGCUGAGGUGCGAUGGUUUGACGCCGAAGUGCGUUUUUGAUCACGCUGUAGUGCGAUGGUGGCAUUGUGACGCUAUCUUGUUGAUAGCUACGCCGAAGUACGAUGGUGGUUACGCUGAAGUCCGAUGGGUUACAUAAAUUUCAUAUUGUUAGUGUUUUCUAUGUCCACAUGUCGAUGAAGAAAUACAUGUACAUUACAUAGCUGUGCUAGAAGAACUUUUCUUGUUAUAAUCGAGAAUAUUUCCAGUCAUAAUCGUAACGUUUAAGUUUACUGUCAGACUUUUUUGGACAAAAAAGUUAACAUUCAUUCAAUCGUUCCAGUCGCUACAUGCAAACAUUUUUUAUUUCAUUAGUGCUUAUUUCUGACUGAAAAUGGGUGAGCUGCUUAAAACGCAAUAUAAUAAGUACAUAAUACACGUAUCACCCGUAUGUGGCUUUUACUGCAACUGGACCUUCGUGUUAUGAUAUUACGGUAAGUGGUAAGCUGGGACUGAGGUGGGAGUAUUGCAUAUAGUAAUCUUAGAUGAGGGGAACAAAGUUAAGUCUUUUAAAACACAUAAAAAUGUCCCCAUGCAGCAAAACGGAAAACAAUCUCUCGUUUAGCAUGAAACUAUAAUUAAGAACAUAUAUAGACCAUCGCACAUCAGCGUACGGACCAUCGCACUUCGGCGUAGACCAUCGCACUUCAGCGUCCCCAUCGCACCUCCGAGUCCUACAUAUUUAAGUAAAUUCCAUCUUUUAAAAGGUGGAUUCCAUUGAGGGAACUUUAACAUUGUGUUGUAAUAAGGCUAUAACUAAGUGGAAACAAUCAAUUGGUGCCUUUUAAAGUCAAAGAACAGUUUCUUUGUAAAUACGUACAUGUACAUUUAAGUACUCAAAAAUUUAUCAUCCAGUCAUUUAGAAAUCUUUAUAUAUAAAUUUUAAUAUAUAAUUCAUUCAUAAGUUAACAUGUUUGUCUCAAGUAUGUAGCUUUGGAAGUAUGAGUUCAAUUAGUUUUAAAAAAGAAAGAAAAGGCUCUAAUCAUAUUUUUUUUUUACUUUUUGUAUACAAAAUGUAUUCGGGGCUCCUGAAGAUAUUAGCAAAUAGAUUGUACUCUUGUUUUCUAUAUUCCCUCUCCCUAUAACAUUUUUUUAUGGAUGAUAGUGUUUCUCAUCUUAUACAUCCAUCGGUUGACAUCCAGAUCUGUUUGAUUUGAUGUUGUACUUUAUCUAUAUGUGAAUGGUUUUGUAGUUCUUAAAUCCAGGCGGUUAUUAAUUAAUUGCAUAUCAUUGAUUCAAUUCAUUUUUUCAGGAAUUUACAAAAUGCAGUUGUUUGUUGCUGUUCUAUUCGUUGUAGUUUUAAACAGUUCUGUUACUGGUACUUCGUUAGGUAAAGGUAAGCAGCUAAGGUUAGGUAAUUGAAAUGAUUGAGUGGAUUACGGUAAGGUAUAAGUUUGAAUAUUGAAACGGAUAAGUGGUUAACGGUACGGAGUUAACGUUUUAACAUUGAAACAGAUGACUGGAUAACGGUAG